RNAcentral lists this ribosomal RNA (419 nucleotides) under uncultured bacterium. Its description in RNAcentral is "bacterial SSU rRNA". It matches the Rfam family "Bacterial small subunit ribosomal RNA", at positions 358 to 774 of the family's 1533-position model. The record is from RNAcentral.
GGAAUAUUGGUCAAUGGAGGGAACUCUGAACCAGCCAUGCCGCGUGGAGGAAGAAGGUCCUAUGGGUUGUAAACUCCUUUUGUUCCGGAGUAAUAAGGGGCAUGCGUGCCCCGAUGAGAGUACGGGACGAAUAAGCAUCGGCUAACUCCGUGCCAGCAGCCGCGGUAAUACGGAGGAUGCAAGCGUUAUCCGGAUUUAUUGGGUUUAAAGGGUGCGCAGGCGGACUGUUAAGUCAGCGGUGAAAUGUCCCGGCUCAACCGGGGCCCUGCCGUUGAUCCUGGCAGACUAGAGGACGGACGGCACCGGCGGAAUGUGUCAUGUAGCGGUGAAAUGCUUAGAUAUGCCACAGAACACCGAUCGCGAAGGCAGCUGGCGAGGCCGGUACUGACGCUCAGGCACGAAAGCGUGGGGAUCAAACA